GCAAAGCCCCACCCCGGUGCGCGGGUAUGGCGGCCAGCCUGUGGAUGGGCGACCUGGAACCCUACAUGGAUGAGAACUUCAUCUCCAGAGCCUUUGCCACCAUGGGGGAGACCGUAAUGAGCGUCAAAAUUAUCCGAAACCGCCUCACUGGGAUCCCAGCUGGCUACUGCUUUGUAGAAUUUGCAGAUUUGGCCACAGCUGAGAAGUGUUUGCAUAAAAUUAAUGGGAAACCCCUUCCAGGAGCCACACCUUUACUUAGCUUACAGCUGCACCAGCUGGCACACCUGGGCUCAUAGAACCAUGGAGCUGGCAGUGCCCUUAGCGGUCAUCCGUGCAACCCCCUCAUUUUAUACAGGAGAAAAAGCUGAGGCUUAGAGAGGGGGAGAUGUUUUGGCCAAGGCGAAACGUUUUAAACUGAACUAUGCCACUUACGGGAAACAACCAGAUAACAGCCCUGAGUAUUCCCUCUUUGUGGGGGACCUGACCCCGGACGUGGAUGAUGGCAUGCUGUAUGAAUUCUUCGUCAAAGUCUACCCCUCCUGUCGGGGAGGCAAGGUGGUUUUGGACCAGACAGGCGUGUCUAAGGGUUAUGGUUUUGUGAAAUUCACAGAUGAACUGGAACAGAAGCGAGCCCUGACGGAGUGCCAGGGAGCAGUGGGACUGGGGUCUAAGCCUGUGCGGCUGAGCGUGGCAAUCCCUAAAGCGAGCCGUGUAAAGCCAGUGGAAUAUAGUCAGAUGUACAGUUAUAGCUACAACCAGUAUUAUCAGCAGUACCAGAACUACUAUGCUCAGUGGGGCUAUGACCAGAACACAGGCAGCUACAGCUACAGUUACCCCCAGUAUGGCUAUACCCAGAGCACCAUGCAGACAUAUGAAGAAGUUGGAGAUGAUGCAUUGGAAGACCCCAUGCCACAGCUGGAUGUGACUGAGGCCAACAAGGAGUUCAUGGAACAGAGUGAGGAGCUGUAUGACGCUCUGAUGGACUGUCACUGGCAGCCCCUGGACACAGUGUCUUCAGAGAUCCCUGCCAUGAUGUAGCCAGGCCAAAGGACAAGCCAGGUUGCAUGAUGUGAGGGAGAUGAGAGACUCCUUUUUAAAAAUUGUGAAACCUUUUUGGAAAUAUGAUUUGUAAGAUUUUAAUAAUGACUGUUUUUGGAGAUCAUGAAUGUUUCUACAACACUGCUGCAUUCAUUUGACCAUUUGAGUUUGAAGACCAAGGGAACAACUUUUAAACAAGGUUCAAAUUGGUUUCCUUCACAGGAAUCCUUUGUCCAGGUAGUUAUCCACAUAGGACAGUUUGGGAUUAUCCAAAACUGGGAUGAGCAGCUUGGGAUAAUUCACACACUAAAGCCUGAGUUCAAGGUUUCUCAGUUGACAGGUAGGUAUGUAAAUCAGGGUUCUCUGGAGUAUUUGUAGGACCUGCCAUAUUUGAGUCCUAACUUGGUGCAAGUCUGGCAGCUAGGUAGAAAAGGCACUCUAGCAGGUGUGGUAGGAGCACGCCCCAGAAGGUAGAAUGUGGUGGGGUGUGAUGGAACAGGCCAGUUGGCCUAAGAAUUAGUACUUGCUCUAAUAAUGGGUUUCAUCUAUUUUCAUGAGUUGCAGCAUCUGCAUAUACAAGGCCUGGAUCACUUUAGGAUCAAUAUUUUGACACGGGAGAAGGCAGCUCAGAAAGGAUUAAGGAAGAUAGCUCAAAGCCAAAGCAGACCCUCCGUGUGAACUUUAUACUGCUCACUUCCGUGUUUCCCAAGUAAAUGGGGAAACUGUCCAACCUUGUCAUGUGUUGGGACUUACUGCUUGAGGCAAAGCAUUCAUCCUACAUCAUAAAAAAUCUCCAAAGAUCUCUUUAAGGGCUGGGCAUGGUGGCUCACUUUGGGAGAUGGAUUGCUUGAGCUCGGGAAGAGACCAGUUCGGUCUCUACAAAAAAAUACAAACACAAAUAUACUUUUA
Molecule: RNA transcript, 1947 nt
Organism: Homo sapiens (human)
Lineage: Eukaryota; Metazoa; Chordata; Mammalia; Primates; Hominidae
Gene: TRNAU1AP
Gene name: tRNA selenocysteine 1 associated protein 1
Exons: 10
Source: RefSeq, marked validated